Molecule: long non-coding RNA, 3708 nt
Organism: Neltuma alba
Lineage: Eukaryota; Viridiplantae; Streptophyta; Magnoliopsida; Fabales; Fabaceae
Exons: 2
Source: RefSeq, a predicted model, not a curated record
AAGGGGGGGGGGAGAGAGAGAGAGAGAGAGAGAGAGAGAGAGGAUGGAGGCCUGGUCGUGAUAAUGAUAAAUUUAGUUGCUAGGUGUCAAUGAGCCAUUGAGCCCUCUCAUGGCUGCUUCCCGUUUCUCAGUGGACAGAGUACCAGCUCUUAACGCCCUCUUUCACGCUGGAAGCCUGCCUCGAUCUGCUACUGAAUGUGCCUUCUCUGAGCAAUCGUGAUUUUUCUCGCCGUUUUGGCUCAGUACAAUUGAUUCUGAUAAUGGUUCAUCAGGUCAGAGAAUCUGGCUACGUGUUGCAUGAGUUUACGGGAUAGAUGGAAGAAAACCACGCUGAAUGGGGAAAAGGCGAGAAAGAAACGGAAAGAAAGCAUCGAAACAUGAUUUUCAACUGAUUUUGGGGGUUGAAUCUUUCAUAUCCUUUUUCUCCUGGCCCCUCCUUCUACUAGACUCUCCUUUUUCUUCUCAUGCUCCUUCUCCGGCCGAUUUCGUUGGUAUCUGUUUUCUUUCCGGUUGUAUAGUGAAAAACCCUAAAAUUUUCAAAUAAGCUCUUGCUCUAGGUAUUAUUUGAAGUAAGCGAGAGAUCCUAGAUUUGCCUAUUUUUCUUGUUCCAAUUAUUUUUCGCAUUUGUUCUUUUUGGUUUUUCCCGGCCUCCUUUCCUCAGAUCUGAUUCAAUUAUAAGUGUCUUUCCAUCGAUUUUUCAAGAGCACUCGUUUUUCCCUCGGCGUUUCCUUAUUUGGGCAGGCCUUCGUAUUUUCCUGAUCUCGACUCCUAUAGCUUAUUUCAUAUGACAUAGAAAUUGACAGAAGAGAGUGAGCACACAGAGGCACUCGGUAUUGUUUCAUACUGAUGCUUUUGCGUGCUCAUUCUCUUUCUGUCAGCUUCCAGUGCUGGAAAUGAGUCUCACUGCUAUUUCUGGUUUCUGAAUCCUUCUCGGUUUGAUUCUUUCCUCAUUAUGUAUCCUUUCUUAGCAAUUGGAUGGAUCCUCAGCUGAAAGCAUGAAAGAUCAUUGGUGAGAAAUGAGAAUGAGGAGGUUAUCAUUAUCCAACAGUGUAAAGCAGUUGGUGAAGAUACCCGAGUAGCCCUGUGCAGAUUAAGCAGCCAAAUUAGCGCAUAGCUUGGGACCAUUUCACGUUAUAGUAUGGUCCUCACAAUUUUAUCUUACCGAUGCUUUGCAGGCAUCAUCGUCAUCAUCCUCAUUAUCGUUUUCUUCCACGCACAUUUUUUUUUAAAAUAAUUGCUGCGCAUGCGAUGCAGUUGGUUUGCUGUUUGUUCUCACCUGAGUCAUGGCUAGAUUCUGCCUUCUGCUUCAUAUCUGAACAUAUUUAUUUCAGGAGUAUGUAUUUACCAUUGGCAGAUAAACACUAGCAACCUACUUGCUUGGGUUGAGAGUGUACUAAAUUAUGUGUUGCUGAGCAUCAUUUCGUUCCCCGCCUGCUAAUAUUCUGAUCUUGCUCCUGACACUGUAUAUCUUUCUUUUUUUUUUUAAUAGAAAAUUGAUGUAAUAUUUUGUGGGGAUUAUGCAAUGUGACCCCAAAGGGUGAUGGCCUAGGAAAAUUAAUCUAUUGGGUUGAGCUAGGAGCUCGAGAUAAUUACGGACUUUAAUGUUCUGUGGUUGAAUAAAAUGAUCUGCCUUGUUUUAAGGUUAUAGACAAUAUUAGGCUUCUAUAAUUUGUAAUAAUAUACAUGUGAGGUUGUGCUCGCUCACAUUGGAUUGGAUAAUUAAGGCCGAAUAUGAUAGUUAUUAUGUCGGUUAGCUAGAAUUAGCUGUUAUAUGUGUUUGUUAAUUUGAAAUGGAUUUAACUGUUAAAUUUUAACAAAAAUGGUCUAUAAAAUAUUAUAAAAUGACGUCCAUUGAAUGAUACAAUAGACAUGCCUGUUAACUUGAAUAAACGAAUGUAAAAUAAAUUGCAACUCUUAUUUAUUUUGCUUUAGUGAUGAUUGUUUAGAAAUUAUAUAAAUCUCUCUUUCCAUAUUAAAAGUGCUAAAAAAGUUUGAAAGUUAAUAUGUAUUGUAUCUUGAAUUAGUAUAUUGCCAGCAAUCUCCACCACUCAUUGAAGAAGAUAAUAUUUCAUGGAUCAGUCUUUCUUUAUUAUAUUGAUUUUAAUAUUUUUCUUUUUCUAAGGAGUGAUAAUUAUUUAUUCUUGCCUAGAAAAAUUACGAUUCUUCAUGGAGGACAUCGAGAUUAUUAAUUAUGGUGUUUUUAAUGUUCUAUAUAUGAAUUAGGUGAUCCUGCAGAGAUUCUGCCAUAUUUUUCCAAGAGAUUUACAGAUAUGCAUAGGCUGGAUUGCUCCAGGGAGAUUUGUUUUUUUAUUUUGUCCUGCUUUCCUUUUUCCUUCUUAACUCAAUUUUUUCUGCAUUGGUUUACCAACCGUUGGAAUGUAAUCCGUACUUGUCGUUGGUUAUACUAGCAAGAUCACAUUGAACUUGUUUUUAUGCUGCACCCAAUUUCUCAAUGGAUACCGGUAUAUUCAUUGAGAUUAAAGCAAGAAACACCCACCAUUGUUUAUAUUUGGACCACUACGUUUUAUGACUUUGCUUUUCGUUGUCUGUUAAAUAGCUGGAUAUUUCUGAUACAUGCACAGCCCCCCUCCUGUUGCUUUAUGUUUCAUUAUAGUAUGAGUAAUGCAGCUUGCUCGGAUCUGCGACAAUAGCUUGAACUUAUAAUACAUCAAUUGUGAACCAGAAUAAUUGUUCUUGUCAAAUGUGCAUGACGUAUAGCGUCGAUCGGGGCAACAAGAUUUGAUUUUUUUUUUUUUAAAUUUAUGAGGUAUAUCUAUAUAUGGUCUUGUUGGCUUGUGACUUGACGGUGCUUAUAUUUUGGGGUCAAUGCAUAUGAAAGAAAGAGGCAAAUGCAACUUUAAGUAUUCCAGUUAAUUAAGGCUUCCAUCUAUGAAGCCUUGAUUUAACCUUAUAAUUGUCUCUCCGCAUUGAUAUAUGCAUAAUAUAUAAAUUUGCAAUCUUGCGAUGUUAAAAUUAUCGUGAUUGAGUAUCUGGUUCUUCUUUUUCUAUUAAGUGAAGCUUUUAGCCGGUAGACAAUAAAAUUAAAUUAUAAAUAAUGUAGAUUUGGUAGUUGCCAUUUGGGACGUGCAAAAGACGAUUUAACAGUAACUGGGUGUGAUAGUAGGCUAAUGUAGCUGCCACAAACAUGCUUAGCUUGACGUGCACUGAGAAGGACAUGUUUUUGCUACAUCUUUUCCUCUUACCUCUCUUCUUUCUCUUUGUCUGAUAGCUUCUCUUCCUCCCAAUUCCUUCCUUAUUUAAUUCCAAUCCACUGUCAUUCCAUUCCAGGUAACAAAAUAUUCGAGCUCAAUUAUUGAACAGUAAAGAGUGUGAAAAGCGGCAAAGUCGCGGUGACCAAAGAGGAAAGCGAGCGCAAACGAAUGGUCGAGCCGGGCGAGCAAAGCAGUUUUCCUGUUCUGACAUAUUUCUGAGAAUCGUAAUUGAAGUGAUCCUAUUAUAUGUAACAUUAAUAUUUUGCUCUUGGACUGUUGCUUCUGCGGCUCCGCUUUUAUAUUACUCAUAAUAGUAAAGAAGUUACAAAAGGCAUGUAUUCAAUAGCAAAGGCUGGACCUGGAUGUUUCAAUAGCAAAGGCAUGCAUCCGUACUGCUUGUAAAUCUAAGAAGAGAUAUAACUAGAAUUUAGUAGUUAAUACGUUGCGAUAUUGCUAAUUACUAACAAUAAAUUGUCGCUAAUGCCUGAUUAUUGGA